Molecule: ribosomal RNA, 433 nt
Filed under: uncultured bacterium
Lineage: Bacteria
Description: partial 16S ribosomal RNA
Rfam family: Bacterial small subunit ribosomal RNA
Source: RNAcentral
AGCGAACGCUGGCGGCAGGCUUAACACAUGCAAGUCGAACGCAUCCUUCGGGGUGAGUGGCAGACGGGUGAGUAACACGUGGGAACGUACCCUUCGAUCUGGGAUAACUUCGGGAAACUGGAGCUAAUACCGGAUACGCCCUUUUGGGGAAAGGUUUACUGUCGAAGGAUCGGCCCGCGUCUGAUUAGCUAGUUGGUGGGGUAACGGCCUACCAAGGCGACGAUCAGUAGCUGGUCUGAGAUGAUGAUCAGCCACACUGGGACUGAGACACGGCCCAGACUCCUACGGGAGGCAGCAGUGGGGAAUAUUGGACAACGGGCGCAAGCCUGAUCCAGCCAUGCCGCGUGAGUGAUGAAGGCCUUAGGGUUGUAAAGCUCUUUUGUCCGGGACGAUAAUGACGGUACCGGAAGAAUAAGCCCCGGCUAACUUCAUG